CCAAUGUCUUAACCACUGAGCUACCACUGCCCACUGUAGUGAGUAGUAAGUAGUGUAAUAGUGAGUAAUAAGUAAUGAGUAGUGAGUAGUAAGUAAUGAGUAGUGAGUAGGGAGUAGUGAAUAGUAAGUAAUGAGUAGUGAGUAGUGAGUAGGGAGUAGUGAAUAGUAAGUAGUGAGUAGGGAGUAAUGAGUAGUGAGUAGUAAGUAGUGAGUAGUAAGUAAUGAGUAGUGAGUAGGGAGUAGUGAGUAGUAAGUAGUGAGUAGGGAGUAGUGAGUAGUAAGUAGUGAGUAGUGAGUAGUAAGUAGUGAGUAGUGAGUAAUGAGUAGUGAGUAAUGAGUAGUGAGUAGUAAGUAGUGAGUAGGGAGUAGGGAGUAGUAAGUAGUUGGUAGUAAGUAGUGUAAUAGUGAGUAGUAAGUAAUGAGUAGUGAGUAGGGAGUAGUGAAUAGUAAGUAAUGAGUAGUGAAUAGUAGUAGGGAGUAGUGAGUAGGGAGUAAUGAGUAGUGAGUAGGGAGUAGGGAGUAGUGAGUAGGGAGUAGUAAGUAAUGAGUAGUGAGUAGAAAGUAGUGAGUUGUAAGUAUGAGUAGUGAGUAGGGAGUAGGGAGUAGUGAGUAGUAAGUAAUGAGUAGUGGUAAUGAGUAGUGAGUAGUAAGUAGUGAGUAGGGAGUAGUGAGUAGUGAGUAGGGAGUAGUAAGCAAUGAGUAGUGAGUAGUAAGUAGUAAGUAGUGAGUAAUGAGUAGUGAGUAGUGAGUAGUAAGUAAUGAGUAUGGAGUAGUGAGUAGGGAGUAGUGAGUAAGGGAGUAGUGAGUAGUGGUAAGGGAGUAGGGAGUAGUAAGUAAUGAGUAGUAAGUAAUGAGUAGUGAGUAGUAAGUAGUGAGUAGUAAGUAAUGAGUAGUGAGUAGUGAGUAGUAAGUAAUGAGUAGUGAGUAAUGAGUAGUG
Molecule: long non-coding RNA, 937 nt
Organism: Ictalurus punctatus (channel catfish)
Lineage: Eukaryota; Metazoa; Chordata; Actinopteri; Siluriformes; Ictaluridae
Source: Ensembl